RNAcentral lists this transfer RNA (84 nucleotides) under Cytophagaceae bacterium. RNAcentral describes it as "tRNA-Leu". It matches the Rfam family "tRNA". From Rfam's summary of the family: Transfer RNA (tRNA) molecules are approximately 80 nucleotides in length. RNAcentral also lists the same sequence under 1 other name. The record is from RNAcentral. Lineage: Bacteria; Pseudomonadati; Bacteroidota; Cytophagia; Cytophagales; Cytophagaceae.
GGCGAUGUGGUGAAAUUGGUAGACACGCUACCUUGAGGUGGUAGUGCCGCUUUAGGUAUGGGAGUUCGAAUCUCCCCAUCGUCA